Molecule: ribosomal RNA, 394 nt
Filed under: Mallomonas adamas
Lineage: Eukaryota; Synurophyceae; Synurales; Mallomonadaceae
Description: partial small subunit ribosomal RNA
Rfam family: Eukaryotic small subunit ribosomal RNA
Source: RNAcentral
GCUUGUCUCAAAGAUUAAGCCAUGCAUGUCUAAGUAUAAGCAAACUUGUACUGUGAAACUGCGAAUGGCUCAUUAUAUCAGUUAUAGUCUACUCGAUAGUACCUUACUACUUGGAUAACCGUAGUAAUUCUAGAGCUAAUACAUGCACAAAGGCCCGACUCACGAAGGGCUGUAUUUAUUAGAUGGAAACCAAUGCGGGGCAACCCGGAUUAUGGUGAUUCAUAAUAACUUUCAGAUCGAUCGCAAGAUCGAUGCAUCAUUCAAGUUUCUGCCCUAUCAGCUUUGGAUGGUAGGGUAUUGGCCUACCAUGGCUUUAACGGGUAACGGAGAAUUAGGGUUCGAUUCCGGAGAGGGAGCCUGAGAAACGGCUACCACAUCCAAGGAAGGCAGCAGG